RNAcentral lists this ribosomal RNA (1558 nucleotides) under metagenome. RNAcentral describes it as "bacterial SSU rRNA". It matches the Rfam family "Eukaryotic small subunit ribosomal RNA", at positions 384 to 1801 of the family's 1831-position model. The record is from RNAcentral.
GGGAGAGGGAGCCUGAGAAACGGCUACCACUUCUAUGGAAGGCAGCAGGCGCGCAAAUUGCCCACUCUCGCCGAGAGGAGGCAGCGACAAGAGAUAACAUCUCCUUUCACUUCUUGUGAGUGGAGUUUGUAAUGGAUGUUACACAAACCAUUCAAUGAGUAACAAUUGGAGGGCAAGUCUGGUGCCAGCAGCCGCGGUAAUUCCAGCUCCAUUGGUGUAUACCAAUGCUGUUGCUGUUAAAAAGCUCGUAGUUGGAUUCAGGGCGCCGGUUGUGGGCGAAUGCGGUUCGCUGCUGUUCGCUCGCAGUAUGCCAGUGUCCUUUUGACGUGGGUGAGGCUUGCUCGCGUCCCAUUAAUUUGGGGUGUGAGCAUUACGUGCGUUUGGCACAAAGGCCCAUCCACGCAUGCUACUGUGAACAAAACAGCGUGUUUCAAGCAGUCGGUACGACGUGCAUGACUAAGCAUGGCAUAGCAAGGCAUCGGCCUCUCUCGAUGUUCUUUGCUGGUUUCGACACGGGGGACGGAAAGUUCAGGGUGGCCCCCUCACAGGGCCUCUGCAUUUCAUGCCCUGUGAGACCAUUUCCUUUGGUGUCAAUGGUGGCUGGCGGGGAAAUACGUAUUCUCAAACGAGCGGUGAAAUGCUCAGACUUUGGGGGGACGAACCUCCGCGAAGGCAUUUUUCAAGCAUGCCUCCAUCAAUCAAGAACGAAAGUGCUGGGAGCAAAGAUGAUCAGAUACCGUCGUAGUCAGUACUGUAAACGAUGCCAGCUCGGGAUUGGGAAAACCCGAGUAUAUGACUUCCCCUGCACCGCUCCCCAAACGAGAAAAUCCAAGCUUUCGGGUUCAGGGGGAAGUACAGUCGCAAGGCUGAAACUUAAAGGAAUUGACGGAAUGGCACCACAAGGCGUGGAAUAUGCGGCUUAAUUUGACCCAACACGGGGAAUCUUACCAGGUCAGGACAUUGCGAGGAUUGACAGAUUGACAGCUCUUUCAUGAUUCAUUGGAUGGUGGUGCAUGGCCGUUCCUGGUUGGUGAAGUGAUUUGUCUGGUUGAUUCCGUUAACGAACGAGAUCUCUGCCACCUAUCUAGGUCCUAUCCCCGCUGUAGGCAACGCGUCUCCCUCGUGGUGAUUGCGUGCUGAGGGGGUGAGGACUUCUUAGUGGGACCUUGUACGUUUUAGUACAAGGAAGAGGAGCCGAUAGCAGGUCGGUGAUGCUCCUAGAUGUCCUGGGCCGCACGCGCAUUACAAUGACGGGCGCAACGAGCCAUCCCAUUUGGGAUCCUGCCUCGGAGGGGGUGGGUAAUCUUUUGAACGCCCGUCGUGACUGGGAUUGCUAUUUGCAAUUAUCUUCCAUGAACGAGGAAUGCCUCGUAUGCGCAGUUCAUCAAACUGCACCGAUUAUGUCCCUGCCAUUUGUACACACCGCCCGUCGUUGCUACUGAUGGUCGACGCAUAAAGGCAACGGGACGCAUUGCUGCUGAUUGCUUGCAUGACGCAGCUAAGUGUGAAACCUUGUCGAUGUUCGUAUAUUAGAGGAAGCAAAAGUCGUAACAAGGUU